AGUGAACGCUGGCGGUAGGCCUAACACAUGCAAGUCGAACGGCAGCACAGUAAGAGCUUGCUCUUACGGGUGGCGAGUGGCGGACGGGUGAGGAAUACAUCGGAAUCUACUUUUUCGUGGGGGAUAACGUAGGGAAACUUACGCUAAUACCGCAUAUGACCUACGGGUGAAAGCAGGGGAUCUUCGGACCUUGCGCGACUGAAUGAGCCGAUGUCGGAUUAGCUAGUUGGCGGGGUAAAGGCCCACCAAGGCGACGAUCCGUAGCUGGUCUGAGAGGAUGAUCAGCCACACUGGAACUGAGACACGGUCCAGACUCCUACGGGAGGCAGCAGUGGGGAAUAUUGGACAAUGGGCGCAAGCCUGAUCCAGCCAUACCGCGUGGGUGAAGAAGGCCUUCGGGUUGUAAAGCCCUUUUGUUAGGAAAGAAAAGCAGCAGGUUAAUACCCCGCUGUUCUGACGGUACCCAAAGAAUAAGCACCGGCUAACUUCGUG
This 492-nucleotide ribosomal RNA is filed under the name uncultured bacterium. RNAcentral's name for it is "partial 16S ribosomal RNA". It matches the Rfam family "Bacterial small subunit ribosomal RNA", at positions 29 to 507 of the family's 1533-position model. The record is from RNAcentral.